This 763-nucleotide ribosomal RNA is filed under the name Lacticaseibacillus rhamnosus. RNAcentral describes it as "bacterial SSU rRNA". It matches the Rfam family "Bacterial small subunit ribosomal RNA", at positions 49 to 777 of the family's 1533-position model. Lineage: Bacteria; Bacillati; Bacillota; Bacilli; Lactobacillales; Lactobacillaceae. The record is from RNAcentral.
CUAUACAUGCAGUCGACGAGUUCUGAUUAUUGAAAGGUGCUUGCAUCUUGAUUUAAUUUUGAACGAGUGGCGGACGGGUGAGUAACACGUGGGUAACCUGCCCUUAAGUGGGGGAUAACAUUUGGAAACAGAUGCUAAUACCGCAUAAAUCCAAGAACCGCAUGGUUCUUGGCUGAAAGAUGGCGUAAGCUAUCGCUUUUGGAUGGACCCGCGGCGUAUUAGCUAGUUGGUGAGGUAACGGCUCACCAAGGCAAUGAUACGUAGCCGAACUGAGAGGUUGAUCGGCCACAUUGGGACUGAGACACGGCCCAAACUCCUACGGGAGGCAGCAGUAGGGAAUCUUCCACAAUGGACGCAAGUCUGAUGGAGCAACGCCGCGUGAGUGAAGAAGGCUUUCGGGUCGUAAAACUCUGUUGUUGGAGAAGAAUGGUCGGCAGAGUAACUGUUGUCGGCGUGACGGUAUCCAACCAGAAAGCCACGGCUAACUACGUGCCAGCAGCCGCGGUAAUACGUAGGUGGCAAGCGUUAUCCGGAUUUAUUGGGCGUAAAGCGAGCGCAGGCGGUUUUUUAAGUCUGAUGUGAAAGCCCUCGGCUUAACCGAGGAAGUGCAUCGGAAACUGGGAAACUUGAGUGCAGAAGAGGACAGUGGAACUCCAUGUGUAGCGGUGAAAUGCGUAGAUAUAUGGAAGAACACCAGUGGCGAAGGCGGCUGUCUGGUCUGUAACUGACGCUGAGGCUUCGAAAGCAUGGGUAGCGAACAGGA